AGUGAACGCUGGCGGUAGACCUAACACAUGCAAGUCGAACGGCAGCACAGUAAGAGCUUGCUCUUACGGGUGGCGAGUGGCGGACGGGUGAGGAAUACAUCGGAAUCUACUUUUUCGUGGGGGCUAACGUAGGGACACUUACGCUAAUACCGCAUACGACCUACGGGUGAAAGCAGGGGAUCUUCGGACCUUGCGCGAUUGAAUGAGCCGAUGUCGGAUUAGCUAGUUGGCGGGGUAAAGGCCCACCAAGGCGACGAUCCGUAGCUGGUCUGAGAGGAUGAUCAGCCACACUGGAACUGAGACACGGUCCAGACUCCUACGGGAGGCAGCAGUGGGGAAUAUGGGACAAUGGGCGCAAGCCUGAUCCAGCCAUGCCGCGUGGGGGAAGAAGGCCUUCGGGUUGUAAAGCCCUUUUGUUGGGAAAGAAAAGCAGCAGGUUGAUACCCCGCUGUUCUGACGGUACCCAAAGAAUAAGCACCGGCUAACUUCGUG
RNAcentral lists this ribosomal RNA (492 nucleotides) under uncultured bacterium. RNAcentral's name for it is "partial 16S ribosomal RNA". It matches the Rfam family "Bacterial small subunit ribosomal RNA", at positions 29 to 507 of the family's 1533-position model. The record is from RNAcentral.